RNAcentral lists this ribosomal RNA (484 nucleotides) under uncultured bacterium. Its description in RNAcentral is "partial 16S ribosomal RNA". It matches the Rfam family "Bacterial small subunit ribosomal RNA", at positions 29 to 507 of the family's 1533-position model. The record is from RNAcentral.
AUUGAACGCUGGCGGCAUGCUUUACACAUGCAAGUCGAACGGCAGCGCGGGCCUCGGCCUGGCGGCGAGUGGCGAACGGGUGAGUAAUACAUCGGAACGUGCCCAGUAGUGGGGGAUAGCUCGGCGAAAGCCGGAUUAAUACCGCAUACGACCUGAGGGUGAAAGCGGGGGAUCUUCGGACCUCGCGCUAUUGGAGCGGCCGAUGGCAGAUUAGCUAGUUGGUGGGGUAAAGGCCUACCAAGGCGACGAGCUGUAGCUGGUCUGAGAGGACGACCAGCCACACUGGGACUGAGACACGGCCCAGACUCCUACGGGAGGCAGCAGUGGGGAAUUUUGGACAAUGGGCGAAAGCCUGAUCCAGCAAUGCCGCGUGUGUGAUGAAGGCCUUCGGGUUGUAAAGCACUUUUGGCGGGAACGAAAAGGACUGUGCCAAUACCACGGUUCGAUGACGGUACCCGCAGAAUAAGCACCGGCUAACUACGUG